GACGGAGGGUGCAAACGUUGCUCGGAAUCAUUGGGCGUAAAGCGCACGUAGGCGGCCGAUCAAGUCGGGUGUGAAAGCCCCGGGCUCAACCCGGGAAGUGCACUCGAAACUGACCGGCUUGAAUAUGGAAGAGGGUCGCGGAAUUCCCGGUGUAGAGGUGAAAUUCGUAGAUAUCGGGAGGAACACCAGUGGCGAAGGCGGCGACCUGGGCCAAUAUUGACGCUGAGGUGCGAAAGCGUGGGGAGCAAACAGG
Molecule: ribosomal RNA, 253 nt
Filed under: uncultured bacterium
Lineage: Bacteria
Description: partial 16S ribosomal RNA
Rfam family: Bacterial small subunit ribosomal RNA
Source: RNAcentral